Molecule: long non-coding RNA, 1995 nt
Organism: Magnolia sinica
Lineage: Eukaryota; Viridiplantae; Streptophyta; Magnoliopsida; Magnoliales; Magnoliaceae
Exons: 6
Source: RefSeq, a predicted model, not a curated record
UUACAUAACCGAUUUUGAAUACCUUGACAAUGAUCGGAAAUGAUCGAAAAAGCUACUAGCUUUAAUGGUUAUCUUUUCAGAGAAAGUGAGAGCUGUAGAUGAAAAAGCUACUAGCUUUAAUGGUCGUCUUUGGAGUCUUCUAACUCAGCUUUAAUGGUGUACAUUAAUGUAUGUUGCUUGUUUUUUGAUUGGCAAUUCAUUAGGGUGUUGCUAGGUGACUUGAGUAACCUGGUUAGAACCUAUUGAUUUUUUUUUUUUGAAAACUAACACAAUAAUUUAUUAAGAGUGCCAAAAAAGCACAGACAAACAGCCAAAGCAAAAAGAACCGUAAAUUUUCUUUCUAUGGUUAGAAUCUAUUGAUAGCCAGCCCCAUUAUACACUUUUUGGCUGGUUGAUCGGAUUCUAUUGAAAUAUACUACUUCGGAUAUCAUAUGUUAAGUGAAUCAUGCUUAGUACAUUUUAAAUUAAAUUUUGCAUUUCAAAUAAAUGCUGCUAUGGCUGAAGGGUGUUACAUACCACUAAUAGUUCAUGCAUACUAUAUCUAUUUUGAUAAGUUGCAUUACUAGGGUGUUGUAAUUUUACAUUUCAUUUGCUUUCUCAUAGAUUGCUGCUGGGACCAUCUAUAACAGGAAAGAAAAACAUGGAUUCUCAUUGGUCAAUGUUGGAGUGAAUUAAGUAGUGAACAUCCAUGCAUUUCCAAAAAAAAAAAAGAACAUUCAGUUUAAUAAAAAAGUUAAUGGGUGCUUCCAGGUCAUUCAUAAUGAUGAAGUUGCAUUGAAAUUGCAGCGUGUUGCUUUUGAGUCCAACUUGGAAGUAACAUAAUUGCCAUUCAGAGCAGAGGAACCGUAAAUAUGAAUGCCAAGGAAGGAAAUCACAAUUGGGCUAUUACUUGACUUUUAAUGGCAUACUCUACUGUCGGUGCCCCUAAUUAUAUUGCUUCAGAGGUUUUGCUGAAGACGGGUUGUGGAAUGGAAUGUGAUUGGUGGUCACUUGGUCAUCAUAUUUGUAGUGUAAGAGUUCCUGUCAUACCUUUUAGUAAAUUUGUCUCUCUUGCUUCAUAUUUGCAGUGUAGUCUUAGGCUCCAUUUGGUCAUCACAUCAAUCUUUAUGAAUAUAUUUUUUUCUCAAACCAAAUGGAGCGUAAGCCAUUUUUAAACUUCGCCAUUGCAACUUCUUGCAUUGCCGGUACCAAGCCUAGGUAAAGGAGGAGGGAGAAGGGCGUCAGGGUGAGUCGUGUCCUUUUCUUCCAUUUUCUGAAGCUGUUAUAGCUUUUGAGUUUACUACAACUAGAUAGUUUUUAAUUGGUGAUAACCACUUUCCCUUGAGAUCAAGCAAGAGCUGGGAGGAAGCAUUUUUUCCAGCCUAGAGGGAGACCACAUCACAUUGGUUAAUGUAUAUCAGGCAUCUGUAGAGUGCUUGGAGACUAGCAAGAUGGCUAACAGUAAAAAGAGACAAUUGGGAAAUGCUUGAGCAAAUGGCAAAUUAGCAACAUAACAAACGGGACCCCAUCAUUGGCAUUUAUUAGGAAAAUAAAGAACUAAAGUACCUUGUGUAAGGAAGAGACCAUCUAGUUGUAAAAUUCAUUGCAGAGGAAUUGGGUCUGGAGGGCUCUUAUGUUCCCCGUACUUACAUUGAACAGAUUCAGCUUGAGAAGCUUGUAAAUGAUGUUAUGGCACUACCAAAUGAUUUGAAGACAAAGCUCAGCAUCGACGAUGAUAUAGCAUUAAGUCUCAAAGACGCACUUUCCUGGGCCUCUGCAGGCAUGAUUGCCUUGAGAAAUAAGAAUCUUAAGAGGUACUGUUUCUAAUCCUUUCCUCCAUAUUUCCAGACAUAGGUUGGAUAGAAGAGUUGACUGAGCAAGUUGGGGAUCAGUCAGCUGUGUCAUAGGACUCGCAUUUAUGUUUCUUGACUGUUAGUCAAGUUCUCUAGCUCAAUAAUUUAAAUUGCCUCUCUCACUGUUGGCAAGCAAAUUGUUGUGGAUUUAGUGCCAUGUUUG